UGGUAGAUGCACCCUGAUAACUAACUCCCCUAGUAGACUAACAUCAUCUGGGGGUUUUUUAU
This is a small RNA of Nostoc punctiforme PCC 73102, 62 nucleotides long. It matches the Rfam family "Nitrogen stress-induced RNA 1". The record is from Rfam. Lineage: Bacteria; Bacillati; Cyanobacteriota; Cyanophyceae; Nostocales; Nostocaceae.